This is a non-coding RNA of Podarcis lilfordi (Lilford's wall lizard), 96 nucleotides long. NCBI's taxonomy places the organism in Eukaryota, Metazoa, Chordata, Lepidosauria, Squamata, Lacertidae. The record is from the annotation of a GenBank genome assembly.
UCUCUCUCUCUGUGUGUGUGUGUGUGUGUGUGUGUACACACACACACACACACACACACACAUACACAUACACACACACACACACAGAGAGAGACU